This 183-nucleotide ribosomal RNA is filed under the name Buchnera aphidicola. Its description in RNAcentral is "partial 23S ribosomal RNA". It matches the Rfam family "Bacterial large subunit ribosomal RNA", at positions 1888 to 2031 of the family's 2925-position model. RNAcentral also lists the same sequence under 1 other name. Lineage: Bacteria; Pseudomonadati; Pseudomonadota; Gammaproteobacteria; Enterobacterales; Erwiniaceae. The record is from RNAcentral.
UGUUAUUAUCAUACUGAUUAUCAAACAAGGAAGUUGGUGACUUGAUGACAGGGGAGCCAGCGAUCGAAGCCCUGAUAAACGGCAGUCGUAAUUAUAACGAUCCUAAAGUAGCGAAAUUCCUUGUCGGGUAAAUUCCGACCCGCACUAAAGGCGUAACGAUCUAGGUACUGUCUCGGAGGUGAA